AGAGGUGGCAAGCGUUGUUCGGAAUUACUGGGCGUAAAGGGCGCGUAGGCGGUCGAUUAAGUCCCGUGUGAAAUCCCUCGGCUCAACUGAGGAACUGCACGGGAAACUGGCUGACUUGAGUUCGGGAGAGGGAAGCGGAAUUCCGGGUGUAGCGGUGAAAUGCGUAGAUAUCCGGAGGAACACCGGUGGCGAAGGCGGCUUCCUGGACCGAUACUGACGCUGAGGCGCGAAAGCUAGGGGAGCAAACGGGAUUAGAUACCCCGGUAGUCCUAGCUGUAAACGAUGAGUGCUGGGUGUAGGGGGUAUUAACCCCUCCUGUGCCGAAGCUAACGCAUUAAGCACUCCGCCUGGGGAGUACGGUCGUAAGGCUG
This 371-nucleotide ribosomal RNA is filed under the name uncultured bacterium. RNAcentral's name for it is "bacterial SSU rRNA". It matches the Rfam family "Bacterial small subunit ribosomal RNA", at positions 527 to 896 of the family's 1533-position model. The record is from RNAcentral.